RNAcentral lists this long non-coding RNA (1095 nucleotides) under Apteryx haastii (Great spotted kiwi). RNAcentral's name for it is "lncRNA (ENSAHAG00000018805.1)". The record is from RNAcentral. Lineage: Eukaryota; Metazoa; Chordata; Aves; Apterygiformes; Apterygidae.
AUGGGCGACACGGGGUCACCGCAGCACCACGAGGGGGAUGGAAAUGAGCAGCCAGGAGGUGCUGAGAGCGCUGGCGGGGCUAACGCCAGCGGCAGUGAGGUGGAAGCUGAGGUGGGUGAAGGACGGGGUGCAGUGAACCCUGACGGGGACGAUCCUGGGGUGCUAGCGAAAGAAGAAAGCUUGCAGCAGCAAAAACGGGGGAAGGAGAAGAGGAGUCAGGCUGAGCAGACAGACAGCUCCGUCAAUGUUUUUAAAAGCAGGGAGACGGUGGACCGCACGCAGCAGACGGACCAGCCGGGGAGCGAGGCAGCGAGCAGCCCGCGUCCCCCGUCCCAGCAGGGUCGGCCCAGCCCCGCAUCCUCAAGGGCAGCCAUGGAGCCUGCUGCGGCGCUGGGCCAGAGCCCCGAAGAGGGGAUCGCCUGGAUCAACCCCCGCACAAACACGGAGGUGACAAGCAGAAGCCAGCAGACAAGUCUGGUCUGGAGCAGGAAAGCUCUUGCGGAAAUCCUGAGGUCCCCCGCUGAAAAAUCUGAGAGCAGCAUUGAUACAGGGAAUGAACUGGGAAACAGCGCUGAAGAGGGAAUUUCAGACCCAUGUCCUGAAACAGCUGUACAAGAGGGGCAGCCAACAAGACGGGCGUCACGGCGUGGCAGUGAGCAGGUCCCAGGACAGACAUCGCGUCGUGGCAGCAAGCAGGUCCUGGGACAGGAGUCGCAACGUGGCAGUGAACAGCCUGUAGAAGAGGAGUCAGAGCAACCUGAUCAACAAAUUGAGGGCUCCGUGUUGCCUUGUGACAAUGAACUGCUCCUGGUGAAAGAACUGGAAUUUGCUAAUCUCCAAGAAAUAGAGCUUGUGAUGGAGGAAAAUAAACAAAGCAAUACGUUGCUUGAAGGUUUGACUAAUAAAGCUCAGCAGACAUACAGUUUUGUCUCUCUGGGUGAAGAGACUUGGCUAAGCAGAAGAACAGGUAAUGUAAUGAUGAGUCAUGGCCAGCAAACAAGUGACACCUGGAUAAAAAAAGUUCAGGCCACAGGAGAAAACCAUAUAUUGCAGCAGUCCCAUUGCACCAUAGUUAGGCUAGAGAAAGCUCAGUAG